This 801-nucleotide ribosomal RNA is filed under the name uncultured bacterium. Its description in RNAcentral is "bacterial SSU rRNA". It matches the Rfam family "Bacterial small subunit ribosomal RNA", at positions 56 to 849 of the family's 1533-position model. The record is from RNAcentral.
UGCAAGUCGACGGUAACAGGAAGAAGCUUGCUUCUUUGCUGACGAGUGGCGGACGGGUGAGUAAUGCUUGGGAAUCUGGCUCAUGGAGGGGGAUAACUACGGGAAACUGUAGCUAAUACCGCGUAGUAUCGGAAGAUGAAAGUGUGGGACCGCAAGGCCACAUGCCAUGAGAUGAGCCCAAGUGGGAUUAGGUAGUUGGUUAGGUAAAGGCUGACCAAGCCGACGAUCUCUAGCUGGUCUGAGAGGAUGACCAGCCACACUGGAACUGAGACACGGUCCAGACUCCUACGGGAGGCAGCAGUGGGGAAUAUUGCACAAUGGGGGAAACCCUGAUGCAGCCAUGCCGCGUGAAUGAAGAAGGCCUUCGGGUUGUAAAGUUCUUUCGGUGAUGAGGAAGGUGUUUGUUUUAAUAGGACAAGCAAUUGACGUUAGUCACAGAAGAAGCACCGGCUAACUCCGUGCCAGCAGCCGCGGUAAUACGGAGGGUGCGAGCGUUAAUCGGAAUAACUGGGCGUAAAGGGCACGCAGGCGGUGACUUAAGUGAGAUGUGAAAGCCCCGAGCUUAACUUGGGAAUUGCAUUUCAUACUGGGUCGCUAGAGUACUUUAGGGAGGGGUAGAAUUCCACGUGUAGCGGUGAAAUGCGUAGAGAUGUGGAGGAAUACCGAAGGCGAAGGCAGCCCCUUGGGAAUGUACUGACGCUCAUGUGCGAAAGCGUGGGGAGCAAACAGGAUUAGAUACCCUGGUAGUCCACGCUGUAAACGCUGUCGAUUUGGGGAUUGGGCUUAGAGCUUGGUGCCCGU